Molecule: long non-coding RNA, 1235 nt
Organism: Rosa chinensis
Lineage: Eukaryota; Viridiplantae; Streptophyta; Magnoliopsida; Rosales; Rosaceae
Exons: 6
Source: RefSeq, a predicted model, not a curated record
UGGUGUUUUCAAUCUACUGGGUGACUGUUGCAGUAAGGAAAAGAUCGUCUCCCAUCACUUGUCAGCCGUUUUCAAUCUCAGAAAAGAACUCGAAGCCGCCAUUGACGUGUUUCCAAGCUCUGCGUCGAGGUCCAAACGACAUUAUGGUCAAGCCAAGGAGGGAUUCUCGAGAAGAACGACCCUCCUAUUUGAAGCCUUCAACUUUGUUUCUUUUCUCUCUGGUUUUGACCCGUAGCCGCUUAAUCUCCAUGCCUCAACCGAUCGUUAGUUGAAGUUAGAAGUUGCUUGGAUUUUGAUCAAAUUAAAAACCCAAGCUUGGAUUUGGCAUUGUUUUGCUUAUGAAAGUUUGGUAGAAUUUUUUUGUUAAUCUGCUUGUGAAUGUGCAUUGAGGGAUUUUAUUUUUGAUUGAGAUUGUGGAGGGGCAGUACCGAGCUCUAUGGGAAGUAGAAUAUGUAGAUUGCGGGUAAUCUCAGACUGGUGGAUUUGGGAGCGAUCACUGAUCCCAAAUUCUUUCUCAAUUUCAUAUAUGUUCUUCUAGGCAGGCAAAGAGGGUCUUGUGCUGCCCACACCUACCUAUGAUUUUGGCAGGAGUUUAGCUUGCAUGGAAGCCUCGGAUGACCGUCUCUCUAUCUUCUCUACUUAUCAUUUUCUCACCAAUUCCACCUUUGAGUUUUGAAAGCACAGGUUAGUGCAAUUCAUUUGAUAAUUGGGGCUCUCCAGAGGAUGCAUUUAUUUGGUGUUGAGAACAGAGAUACUUUAAUUCACAAUGCCAUGGGUUAAGGAUGUUUAAGGCCAUGACGCACCAAUACAAGGGCUUGCUAAUUCAAUAGCUGGACCUUUUGUAUACAGUAUAAUGACUCGGCUACAAUAUUUGCUUUUUGAAACAAAGGGAGUUGGAAUCAGAUCGCAUAGAAAAGUUGCCGGAGGUAGCAGAUGCAGCAUGGAGAGGAACAUGCAGAGAUUUAGGUUUUUUGAUGUUGUAUUAUAUUUGAAAUUGUAUACGAAUUGUACAAUACAUUCUAUAAAUACGUGGUUGUGGCUAGACCAAAUUGUUAUUUUUUUAUAUAUAUACUCCAAAUUUUGCCACUGAUGUUGGUGGCAUUGAAAAAACACACUGAUUCUGUAACAGUGGGAAAGAAAAAGGUUUAUUGCUGCAUUGGGUUUUGGUAUGCCACUGAUGUUUUAUCAGUGUAGAUUGCCCCAAUAGCACCUGCAAUAGAGGGGACUGAUUCUUC